CUCCCUUCCACCUGUGGACACAUAGUGAAAACCUCAUGCUCUCUGUGAGCCAGAAAGCAGGUUCCCUGGACACUGAAUCUGUGCCACCUUCUUGGACUUGUCAGGUUGCUGUUUAUAGGCCACCCAGUCUCUGAUAUUUUGUUACAGAGGUCUGAACAGAUGAAGACAGGCCCUAGUUAAGUAACUACAACCAGCCCUUAUUCAUCAUGUACUUCCUACCAGGUGAAAGAUGAGGAAGGUGAUGAAGGCCCGCCCUCUUCAAGGUCUCUCUCCCAUGAAGCCUUGGAUUUGAGUCGCAGGCAAGCCCACCACAGAGUCAGGCACUUGCUUCUGAAGGCAGGUAACCCAGGGCACAGGGCCCAUGGCUGAGGACAGAGCCUGGAUUCUCAUUAGCCACACCCUACCCCAUGGCCCAGGACCACGACCACCACUGAUGUAACUCAUCUUACAAAAGCUCCAUUCCUGAGGCAGUGAAAAUUGACGGGUAAUGAAGAGAAACAUGGAAGCAUCUAGAAAACGAGGUCUCCCCUAGUCCAUCCCCAGCCUUUCGACCAUCCUCCUUCAAUUACAGUACUGGACGGCUAAUGCGUGUCACAGGAGAACCAAUGUGAGAACAACACGUGCUCUUUGGUUGCAGAGCUGGGCUCCCCUGGACUCUCGUGUUCCGUUUAUUUAUAAUCUGAUUUGGAAAAGAAAAGCCAGAGCUUUCCCUGGAGGCGAGGCAGCCAUGGAGCUUCUGGCAUCGCCUCGGCUUGGAGGCUGUGAACCGGGCGGAGAUGCUAGCCGAGCCAGUGUCGGGGCAGCCCUUUCUGGCCUCUUAGAAGUAAAGGCUGGUUGCCACUUGAGCUUCCUCAUGCUCCUUGCCACAAAGAUGCCUGGAGCACUGCACUCUCCCCUAACUGAGCAGUCAGGCAGAAGAGACAGACCCAGGAGAGGCAGACUCCGCCGGCGGGCCAGCGUGCGCACCCGGCGCCGACUCAGCCCAGCCUCCCAGUUCACGUGGUGCGUGAGGGCACAGACUGUGGCCCACCAAGGUCGGCUGGGAGCCUGUCACGGGCAUGA
Long non-coding RNA from Talpa occidentalis (Iberian mole), 1062 nucleotides. RefSeq lists it as uncharacterized. NCBI's taxonomy places the organism in Eukaryota, Metazoa, Chordata, Mammalia, Eulipotyphla, Talpidae. The record is from RefSeq and is a predicted model, not a curated record. The transcript is spliced from 3 exons.